Balaenoptera acutorostrata (minke whale) is the source of this 1795-nucleotide long non-coding RNA. RefSeq lists it as uncharacterized. Lineage: Eukaryota; Metazoa; Chordata; Mammalia; Artiodactyla; Balaenopteridae. The record is from RefSeq and is a predicted model, not a curated record. The transcript is spliced from 8 exons.
GGCCCCAGCGGGGCUGCAGAAAGGGUGGGAGUGCCCUCCGGUGAUUAAACAGCCCCCGCCUCUGGUAGGUGCUGAGAGGGCGAGAUUAAGCGGGCACUUACUGUAUGGACUACGUAUUAACCGCAUCACCUUGUAUCCCUCGGGCUCCGCCACCAGCGAGGAGAAGUUACAUCUUCUGGGAUCAGGGAGAAGAGAAUCUCACCCCUGACUCCUAACAGGGGCCUUCAACCCAGGGAGUCACAUCAGGAACCCAGUUCAAAAGAAAGAGGCCGGGCAGGCAGAGAGUUAAAAUUACAGUGUGAGGAGACACUGCCCACUGCAGAUCAAUCCCGCAGAAGAUAAAGCAUCUCAGAAGUGAUGUCAGUGGCUGACUGGUUCCCAUUUACUGGCCUUUCAGGGACGCCCGCAUCUCCCUGCUAAGGACGGGUUUCUGUGCCUCAGAGAUCCCCUACCUACCACCAGGCACCCCGGCCCUCCGUGCUCCCACUCAGGACUGUGCCGUCCAUCAGACCCUGUGGCUGAAGACCUGGCUUCUCCAUCCCCCACCCCACCUCACCGAAACUAGGCCAUCUCCAGGGCAGCCCCUAGACACCCCUCGCCCAAGAGGGAUCUCUACAAUCAUCAUUCCCGGACUCUCCCUGCCUUCUGUGAAGAUUCUCAAGUGUCCUCACAGAAACGGCUCCCAAGGAACUUUCUGCUAAGUGUGUGAAGGCCAGAGCUCCUGCUGACUUUUGCUCGGGACCACCACCAGCUGAAAGUCUGGACAGUCUUUCCACAUGUGGGCCAAUACACACCACCCUCCCCCCGACCACCAACCCUCUGUCACCGAUGCCCACGGGACAGUGACUGGUCCAGCAUGGAGACGCUCUUGUUGACACUCAGCAUCUUCUGCUCCGGUUCUGUGAUGUCCGAGCUGCUCGUGCAGUACGCGGCCCUCGAGAAAGCCACAUGGGGCCCAGCGGAGUGUAUCCAGGACAGAAGCAUAAGGGCGCCUAGGGCACAGGUUUGGGGCCCUGGGUGCUCACCUGUUGAGGUCCCGCAUCACGUAGCCCUGCAUCUCGGCCGAAGGGCCCCGCAGCACCACAGGCUGAGGCCGGGGCCGCUCGCUCUGACGGCUUGGCUGCCGUUGGAUGUUGGGGUUCCUCAGAGCUGUGCUGAUGUCGUUGAGGAGCCGGGGCAGUGGGCCCAGCUUCAGGAGGGCUUCCUGGAAUGGGGAGGCUAUUACCCGGGGGCUAACAGCCCAGCUUUAAGGGGGCCUCAGAGAGUUCAGGUAGAAGGAGUCUGAGCUGGGGAAGUGGCAUUGGAAGUGGCAGUGACAUGUCUGGGAACAGGAGGGGGGAAGAAUCUGCGCAGGGGGUGGUCUCCGGGCUACAGGAGCCUCUGGAGACCUGAGGACGGGUCAAGGGGCCUAUGCUCACCUUGCUGAGCUGGGGCAGCACCUCCCAGAGCAGGGCAUGCAGCGUGGAGAGCUCUCGGCCCAGGUCGAUGUAACCCUCAAAGCUACUGCUAUUGGUCAGUGUGUCCAGGUUGGAGAUCUCGUACAGGAACUGCUGCAUGGAACCCCACUCGAGCUCCAGAAACUCAUUCAUGAAGCCCAGAAAGUCCUCCUUUGAGGUCCUCUGAGGGCAGGGGCCAAGCCUCAUGGCUCUCUGUCUGCUCUACGGCACCAAGCACAAUGCUUUGCCCAUAACUGGUUCUCAGUCCUCUUUGAAGAUGGACAGAUGGAUGAACAGAUGAACACACGACUCCCCCAACCCUGGCCCCCCAACCCAGGGUUCCCAGUCUCACCAAUGGG